UAUGGAGGGUGCAAGCGUUAUCCGGAUUCAUUGGGUUUAAAGGGUGCGCAGGCGGGGGGUUAAGUCAGUGGUGAAAUCCCGUAGCUCAACUACGGAACUGCCAUUGAUACUGAAUCUCUUGAGUCUGGUUGAUGUGAAUGGAAUGUGUCAUGUAGCGGUGAAAUGCUUAGAUAUGACACAGAACACCAAUCGCGAAGGCAGUUCACAAAGCCAGUACUGACGCUCAGGCACGACAGCAUGGGGAGCAAACAGG
This 253-nucleotide ribosomal RNA is filed under the name uncultured bacterium. RNAcentral's name for it is "partial 16S ribosomal RNA". It matches the Rfam family "Bacterial small subunit ribosomal RNA", at positions 524 to 776 of the family's 1533-position model. The record is from RNAcentral.